CGGACGGGUGAGUAAUGUCUGGGAAACUGCCUGGUGGGAGGGGGUAACUACUGGAAACGGUAGCUAAUACCGCAUAACGUCGCAAGACCAAAGAAGGGGGACCGUUCGGGCCUCUUGCCAUCGGAUGUGCCCAGAUGGGAUUAGCUAGUAGGUGGGGUAACGGCUCACCUAGGCGACGAUCCCUAGCUGGUCUGAGAGGAUGACCAGCCACACUGGAACUGAGACACGGUCCAG
Molecule: ribosomal RNA, 234 nt
Filed under: uncultured bacterium
Lineage: Bacteria
Description: partial 16S ribosomal RNA
Rfam family: Bacterial small subunit ribosomal RNA
Source: RNAcentral